GCCCCAGAUGUCCAGACACAAUUCUUGGUUUCUAUGUUUCCUGGACAAGAAUUGCGUUUGGACAAUCAGAAGC
Podarcis lilfordi (Lilford's wall lizard) is the source of this 73-nucleotide non-coding RNA. The record is from the annotation of a GenBank genome assembly. Lineage: Eukaryota; Metazoa; Chordata; Lepidosauria; Squamata; Lacertidae.